This 286-nucleotide unclassified non-coding RNA is filed under the name plant metagenome. RNAcentral's name for it is "partial contains small subunit ribosomal RNA, internal transcribed spacer 1, and 5.8S ribosomal RNA". The stretch from base 1 to 54 matches the Rfam family "Eukaryotic small subunit ribosomal RNA", at positions 1778 to 1831 of the family's 1831-position model. The record is from RNAcentral.
GGAAGUAAAAGUCUUAACAAGGUUUCCGUAGGUGAACCUGCGGAAGGAUCAUUAUUGUAUAACCGAGGUGCGAGGGCUGUCGCUGACCCGAAAGGUCGUGCACGCCCGAGUGCCCUCACACACAUCCAUCUCACCCCAUAUGUGCACCACCGCGUGGGUCCCCCUUUGGCUUGUUCGGAGGGGGGCUUACGUUUUCACACAAACUUUGUAUGCAGUGUAGAAUGUAUUUUUUGUUUUUGCGAUCACGCAAUCAAUACAACUUUCAACAACGGAUCUCUUGGCUCUC